CGGACGGGUGAGUAAUGUCUGGGAAACUGCCCGAUGGAGGGGGAUAACUACUGGAACGGUAGCUAAUACCGCAUAACGUCGCAAGACCAAAGAGGGGACCUUAGGGCCUCUUGCCAUCGGAUGUGCCCAGAUGGGAUUAGCUAGUAGGUGGGGUAAUGGCUCACCUAGGCGACGAUCCCUAGCUGGUCUGAGAGGAUGACCAGCCACACUGGAACUGAGACACGGUCCAG
RNAcentral lists this ribosomal RNA (230 nucleotides) under uncultured bacterium. RNAcentral describes it as "partial 16S ribosomal RNA". It matches the Rfam family "Bacterial small subunit ribosomal RNA", at positions 99 to 334 of the family's 1533-position model. The record is from RNAcentral.